Molecule: long non-coding RNA, 648 nt
Filed under: Monodelphis domestica (gray short-tailed opossum)
Lineage: Eukaryota; Metazoa; Chordata; Mammalia; Didelphimorphia; Didelphidae
Description: lncRNA (ENSMODG00000049576.1)
Source: RNAcentral
GCUCAUUAUUAAAUGUUUUGAACUAGAAAAAUUGGAUAUCCAACUUUCUCUCCCUCUCUCUGAUCCUUUCUUCUUCCUUUCCUUUUUUCUUUCAUCUCUCCCUCUCUCCCUUCCUUCUUCCUCCCUUCCUGCUUUUCUUCCUUCCCUCCUUCCUUCCUUUCUCUUUAUUUCUUUUUAUUAAUGGAUUGGUUCAGAUUUGCAGUUAUAUCAUCUUGGUAUCCUUUGCUUUGCAGCCUCAACUUUAUGGAUCACCCAGCUGUGGUUCAAUGCUUUCUUGGCAGGUCAAACAUUCCUAUGUCUGAUAAGGACAGAAGAGAACAGCCUGACUUUUGCUUAUCCACAAAACUAGUUGAAGGAAGGGGUAGAGUUGAGUUCUAUUGCCACUCAUAGGUGAGUCUCUACAGCUCUCCCCACAUGAUGGUAAAUUGGGGCAAGAAUACCAAGUGAUUGUUAUUUUAUUGUACUUUCACCUCAUUAGGGUUUAUGUUGUCCUACACCUUUUUCUUUAUCAAAUAAUUUUUAUUUUCAGUAGGCUUGAGAGCUAGUGAGGAAAAGAAAAAAUGUUUACCCUUUACCUUAUAGUUAUAUGACUAAGAAUUUGUCUGGUGAUUUCUUUAACAUUUAAAAAUAAAAGUAAGAUAAAGGCCA